GUAGGUGGCAAGCGUUGUCCGGAAUUAUUGGGCGUAAAGCGCGCGCAGGUGGUUCUUUAAGUCUGAUGUGAAAGACCCCCGGGCUCAACCGGGGAGGGUCAUUGGAAACUGGGGAACUUGAGUGCAGGAGAGGAAAGUGGAAUUCCACGUGUAGCGGUGAAAUGCGUAGAUAUGUGGAGGAACACCAGUGGCGAAGGCGACUUUCUGGCCUGUAACUGACACUGAGGCGCGAAAGCGUGGGGAGCAAACAGGAUUAGAUACCCUGGUAGUCCACGCCGUAAGCGAUGAGUGCUAAGUGUUGGGGGGUUUCCGCCCCUCAGUGCUGCAGCUAACGCAUUAAGCACUCCGCCUGGGGAGUACGGUCGCAAGACUG
This 373-nucleotide ribosomal RNA is filed under the name uncultured organism. Its description in RNAcentral is "partial 16S ribosomal RNA". It matches the Rfam family "Bacterial small subunit ribosomal RNA", at positions 527 to 896 of the family's 1533-position model. The record is from RNAcentral.